AUUUACUGAUCGCUGAGUUUCCGUGAAAGCGGAAGCGGGGGAACCAAUAAUGACGCGAUGCGCCUGUUCGAUGUGAGAGUCGAACAAACGCAGAGCAGGGGUGAAUCUUUGACAGGUGCCAUGGAUACCGGUCAAAGUAGGGCGACUCUCACCGCCCGAAUCCGACAGCUAACCUCGUAAGCGUGGACCGAGAGAGGAA
This 199-nucleotide small RNA is filed under the name Paenibacillus sp. RNAcentral describes it as "c-di-AMP sequence". It matches the Rfam family "c-di-AMP riboswitch aptamer (ydaO/yuaA leader)". From Rfam's summary of the family: This family represents a conserved RNA structure found upstream of the ydaO and yuaA genes in Bacillus subtilis and related genes in other bacteria. The ydaO/yuaA element is thought to act as a genetic "off" switch for the ydaO and yuaA genes in its native state. The record is from RNAcentral. Lineage: Bacteria; Bacillati; Bacillota; Bacilli; Caryophanales; Paenibacillaceae.